Molecule: long non-coding RNA, 714 nt
Filed under: Cairina moschata (Muscovy duck)
Lineage: Eukaryota; Metazoa; Chordata; Aves; Anseriformes; Anatidae
Description: domestica (muscovy Duck (domestic type)) lncRNA (ENSCMMG00000016851.1)
Source: RNAcentral
AACGGUGCUCGUGUGCAGGAGCCGCAGCCCCUACAAAUCUCAUUAUGAAACUCACAAUAAUUGAGGGGCUAAAAAUAAUUUUUGCUCAGAUUGCACUUUGAAUGUGCUUGAUGUUUUUUUAUUAUUUCUUUUUAGUCAAUCCUAAUGUAGUUAGUCCUCAGUAAACUCAGCUCUACCCUCCCGCCCUUCGGUGCUUAUUUUUGUCUCUCCUGGUGCAUCGCAUAAGCAUGGCGUAAUUUCCAGCAUACAGUUAUUAGUAUUUAUUCUUUUUUUUUCACAGCAGAGCACCUUAGGAGCCACAAUGACUUCUGGAUACGAUGAAAUGCAAGGUGAAAGGAUUACUGUUUCUUAGCUCUACAAAGCAUGGUUGGGACCACUCAGAAAAUGUUCUUCUGCAAAUAAACGCAGUGGUGUGAUGGAGAUGGUUCUGUUAGUGCAUCGCCCCUGGAUGGCCUGGCAAAACAAGGUACAAUAAAAAUUCUGGCAGUUGUGAGUGAGAUUAUUGAAUUGCAGGCUCUGGACUGUCCAGGAUAGACUGCUGGGACACAGCCAUGGAAACUCGAACAUUUGAAGACAGAGUUAUGAAGUGGGACUAACGCAAGGGCAUUCCCUUUCCUCCCAAAAUUUAAGGGGCUGGUGGGGUGGCUGCCAAGAUGCAGGUGACGAGAUGCUUGGUUGGCCUCUAGUUUCAGCUCAAGGGAGAGGAAGGAGUUG